AGUUAAUGAACUUGAUAAAGUAUAUAUUUUGAAAAUAUAAUAAAGGUUAAUACCUAUUAACUU
Molecule: transfer RNA, 63 nt
Filed under: Phrixothrix hirtus
Lineage: Eukaryota; Metazoa; Arthropoda; Insecta; Coleoptera; Phengodidae
Description: tRNA-Ser
Source: RNAcentral